This 465-nucleotide ribosomal RNA is filed under the name Vreelandella stevensii. RNAcentral describes it as "partial 16S ribosomal RNA". It matches the Rfam family "Bacterial small subunit ribosomal RNA", at positions 338 to 795 of the family's 1533-position model. Lineage: Bacteria; Pseudomonadati; Pseudomonadota; Gammaproteobacteria; Oceanospirillales; Halomonadaceae. The record is from RNAcentral.
CCUACGGGGGGCUGCAGUGGGGAAUAUUGGACAAUGGGCGAAAGCCUGAUCCAGCCAUGCCGCGUGUGUGAAGAAGGCCUUCGGGUUGUAAAGCACUUUCAGUGGGGAAGAAAGCCUUGGGGCUAAUACCCUCGAGGAAGGACAUCACCCACAGAAGAAGCACCGGCUAACUCCGUGCCAGCAGCCGCGGUAAUACGGAGGGUGCGAGCGUUAAUCGGAAUUACUGGGCGUAAAGCGCGCGUAGGCGGUCUGAUAAGCCGGUUGGGAAAGCCCCGGGCUCAACCUGGGAACGGCAUCCGGAACUGUCAGGCUAGAGUGCAGGAGAGGAAGGUAGAAUUCCCGGUGUAGCGGUGAAAUGCGUAGAGAUCGGGAGGAAUACCAGUGGCGAAGGCGGCCUUCUGGACUGACACUGACGCUGAGGUGCGAAAGCGUGGGUAGCAAACAGGAUUAGAUACCCCUGUAGUC